UAGGAGCUAUGGGACCGGACAACUGCCU
This 28-nucleotide non-coding RNA is filed under the name Mus musculus (house mouse). Lineage: Eukaryota; Metazoa; Chordata; Mammalia; Rodentia; Muridae. The record is from RNAcentral.